UACGUAGGGGGCAAGCGUUGUCCGGAAUUACUGGGCGUAAAGCGCGUGUAGGUGGUGGGACAAGUCUGCUGUGAAAGCGCCUGGCUUAACCGGGCGAGGUCGGCGGAAACUGUUCGACUCGAGGACGGUAGAGGGGGGUGGAAUUCCCGGUGUAGUGGUGAAAUGCGUAGAGAUCGGGAGGAACACCUGUGGCGAAGGCGGCCCCCUGGGACGGCACUGACGCUGAGGCGCGAAAGCUAGGGGAGCAAACGGG
Molecule: ribosomal RNA, 253 nt
Filed under: uncultured bacterium
Lineage: Bacteria
Description: partial 16S ribosomal RNA
Rfam family: Bacterial small subunit ribosomal RNA
Source: RNAcentral